This 829-nucleotide long non-coding RNA is filed under the name Nicotiana benthamiana. Its description in RNAcentral is "long non-coding RNA (NBEN_LNC014952)". The record is from RNAcentral. Lineage: Eukaryota; Viridiplantae; Streptophyta; Magnoliopsida; Solanales; Solanaceae.
AUUUUUCAAUAUUAAUAUUAGCUAAGACUGACUCUACUUUAUUUUAAUUUAAUUAAUUGAACCGAAAUCUAUAUUUUGGGUCAAACAGUUUCAUAUUCAUCCAUUUCCUGUUACAAGAAGAGCGUGGUCUGAAUAAUAAAAAAUGAGGGAAUAUAUCCAUAAGGUUCACAAUAUUCAUGAAAAUAUAAGCAAACAUGAAAUGGAGUAUUAUUUAUUUAUAGCAUCUGAGGUGAUCAACCAGAAGUACAACUACUUAUUUUGUGUUACAGCAAUCAAGAACCACAUGCAAACAUAGGAUUUUUUUGUUUUGUUUCAGAAAACCACAAUCCAUGACAUUGGGAUUCCUAUCUUAAGGUCUUGUUCAAUGGCCUUCUGUUUCCGUUGAGUCGGACAUGCAAGAACAAUCAGGGCAAGGACAUUCAACUUUCUCAUCUAUUGUGCUACUCAUGCAAGAGCAAUCAGGACAAGGACAUUCUACUGUAGUCAGCAGAUUUCUUGUUCUUGGGAAGUUCAUAUUCACACUAUAUGUCUUGGCUAAGUCGCUUGACUCGAUGGUUCCCGGAGUUUCAACAUGACUCUCAGUCAACUGGCUAGUGCUGAUAUAGAAGCAAAGCGCGAAAACCAUGAAAAGCAAUGCAACUGAGAUUUUCUUAGCCAUGGAUCCAAAAAAUUAAGUUAGUCCCUUCUGUAAUACUUGUACUAAUGAUGUGGAUUGUCAAAGCAAUUGAGGUGUUGAAAUUUAUAGUGAUAGAUUGCUUAUAGAGUUUGAUUUUAGCAUGGAAUAAUUAGUGCUAGCUGCAUGGAUAUCUAUGUUGUAUUAGAGUAUAUG